Molecule: long non-coding RNA, 8065 nt
Organism: Acinonyx jubatus (cheetah)
Lineage: Eukaryota; Metazoa; Chordata; Mammalia; Carnivora; Felidae
Exons: 10
Source: RefSeq, a predicted model, not a curated record
GGGGCCACAGGCCUCCUUAGGACAGAUUUCUGGUUCUGCCACAGAAGUUUCCCUCAGUCUCUGACUAUUGUCUCCGGAGGAAUCUCUUCAUUGUACAGGUGAGAACAACUGAGGCUCUUCGAGACUGCAGAGUUUGACCAGCCUCACACAGCUGGUAAAUACCCGGCCGGGGCCUGAAAUGAGAUUUGGAUGACUCAGAACCCCGCACUGUGAAAGGGGAUGGGCUGUUUCCUUUCAUCUUGGGAGGAAAUGUUGCUCCCGAAGAGAAAACAGAGCAGGUGACCACUCCACCUCUGGUUUGCUCCUGAUAUUGGAACUGCCCUCCAGCUUGGAUUUCCCUGGACAGUAGUAAGAUGGCCCAGCUUGCCUCCUUUCUAGUGACGGGGAUUCCCUCUGACUCCAGCCUGGUUUCCUCGCCAGCUUCUUUAUGAUGAACCCCAUCCUCACCCAGGUGGGCUCAGUCGUCCUAAAUCUCAAAAACUCAACAAUCCAAAAAUAGUUUGUCUUUCCAAGAGCCCCAUGGGAUGUCAACUCUGGCCUUCCUGGAGAUGGAUCUGGCCAUUGGGAAUGGUGCUGGUACUCUGCACCGUCACAGAACGUGCCAAGAGCAAUGGAAUUUCUGGCCUGGCCUCCGCUAGGGUCUCGGUAGGUGGAGCCCCAGGCAGGUCUUUCUGGGGCUCUCUUGCCUGCCAAGUUGGUGUGACCUUGGGACAUGGUGAAAGGUAGAGCUUUUUGGUUAGCUAUUUUGCAGGGCUUUUGGAUUCUCUUGCUUUCUUUCCCCUUUGGCUUCUAUUUGCAGAGAGACUCGGCUUUGAACCCAAAUGCAUUGAGGCAUGGGUGCCGGGAGCAGCCAGGCUCAUUAACCGGAAUCCUGCAAGUGAAUGCAAAAGUGUGAACACAGUAACAGUGCUGAGGCAAAAAAGGACACAGCUUCUCAGCGUCUGACGUCCGCCUGUCAGACUUCUUGGCCCUCGGGCUGGAAAAGCUCUGGAGUUCUCAGGAAUCCUUGCAAGCCUGGCUCCGAGGGGAUGCUCACCCAUGCAGACCACAGGGAGGAGCGAGAAGCCUUCAAGGCGCAGACCAGGUUGGACUAGAUUCAGAAGCCUAAUUACCACCAGAAAAUUAAAGAAAGCACUUUUCCUGUCCAAGUCAAAACUGGUUCUCUUCCACAUCCAAAGUGUGUGGGGACGACAAGAGACACUGGCUCAUCACCCGGCUCCUAGAGAAACACAAUGAAGGUAACCUUAAGGCGAGAGCUUCCUUUUUCCUGGCUUUGGAAAGGAGCCCAGCCAAGUGAGUGACCUGGGAGCUUAAGCUUCAACGGCUUCGUGGUAAAUGGUAAGUCUACCUCUGCCUUCCACGUAGGCAACCACCAGGGUCUGCUGGCAUAACGUCCGGAGAGUCAGAAAUCACCAGGAGUGGUGAACUGAGGACGGUCUAGAACCAGGGAUUGGUUUGGAUCGGAGGAACCACACCAAAGCUGGUUUCCAGGAGGACCCGGACUUGGGAGCAGAAUGGAGACAGGAGGCACGAGGUCCCGGAGGAAGUGCUACGAUGUCUGGUGAGCAAGGAGAUGUAGCAGAUGUGCAGGGGCCAAUACUGAUGCAUUCCAGAUGGUCACGGCUGGACCAGCAGGCAGAUGGACAUUACUGAUGGGCAUGAGGAGUUUGGAAGGGUGGGAUUGUCACAUCCUGUCAGGGGCACAGCGCGACUUAAUGAAACUGGUCAAGAGGGGUUGAGAUCUGGGGUAGCUGAGCCCUCCGCCGGCGAAGGAUUCUUCUUUAGAGUGUGGCCAAGCUGGCCGGGAACCCAGUUUUUCUGACUCCUGUUUUUUUCUUUACUCCAGGCUGCUGCCCAAAUAAAACCUUUACCUCAAGCUACGCAUUCGAAACUGGAAGAAGGCAUUCGUUCUUGCCUAGGGAGAGCCUUCCUGGGAGGUGGCUCAUCAAACCCUCGUGUUUUUUUCCCUCCUGCCUCCCACAGACACCUGGUAUCAGUUCCAAAAGACGCAUUUUAGUGCCUUUAAGCAAAGCUAGUUCUUCUGCCUGGGCGAACUCUGACACUGAACUUUCUGUUUCCAGCCCCCUUAAAAAACCUUCAUCAAAUUUCCACCACGCAAAGGUUGAAGUGUUUCGGUCACCGAAGCGGUUCGGUGAUGAUCGUGGUGGCUGUUUCUUAAAGGGGAUACUCGUUCAUUCAUUCAUUCAUUCAUUAGUUCGUUCAUUCAACAGACACGUAGCAAAUUCUGCAGUGUGACAGACAUUGCGCCUGAAGGCAGAGCAAACACAGUCACCGUUGCGGCCAUCUCGGAGACUCGCAUCGAAUAAAUCACAAACAAACGUAAACUUGCCACACUCACCUGAAUAAAAGGCACAGACCUGACUUCUAUGUUCAGCCACUAUGCAAAUACGCUGCUGGGUCAGUGUGAAGGUAUUUAAAGGCGUCCACGUGACAUCCUCCUCAGAUGGCCCCCAUCCUGCCCUUCCCUCUGCUGACACAAAGGCCUUCUCACCCGUCAGAAGAUGAAGCCUUGUCCCUGCCUUGAAUGGGGCUGGCCUUGGAACUUGCUUUGAGCCCGAGAACACUGUGAAGGGAUCUGUGUGAGACAGUUUGGGGCCAACACCCUAAGAGAACUGAUGGCCUUCCACGACUUCCCUUCCCAAGUCAUCUGCCGCAGACAGAGCCCAAUAUCCCGAGACCACAGUGCUGUGAGGAGGCCAAGCCAGCAGCGGGGAGAGGCCACACGGAGAGAGGGAUGUUCAGCCGGGUCCCAGCUCUUCAGCCUUCCCAGCUGAGACGUCAGACGUGACUGAAGAAGGCCAUCUCCUCUCGGGGCAUUCUUCUCCCAGUGGACACCACGUGGAGCAGGAAAACCACCCAGAGGAAACCAGCGCACAUUGCAAAAGAAGAAUAAAUGGUUAUGAGGCAUUGGACAUGGUGAUCCCCUUUUGGGACAAGCUGGCUCCCACUGUAAACGGAGGACCCUUGAUGUCCUCCAUGGUGUGUGUGACGUAGGACUGCGAGAUUUAGCAAACGGAGAAACGAAACGGAGGGAGGGGCAGCAUUGACGGCUGAGAUGAAUGAUGUCCUGGCCUCACUGUUCCUGGAUGCAGGCCCCCAUCAACUGGGGCAACGUUGAGUGAGGCUCUGCUUCUUGCCACAUGGCACAGGGGCCAGUGAGCAGCCCGUUCCGAGUAGGAUGAUGUAUGUGGACGCGAGGAAUGCAUUUUCAUCAAUCACUUGAACUGAAGGCAUGCGUUUUUUGCUGGACUGAAAAUUGGUAUUUUUGUCUUUUUUUCAAGAGGAUUGUUGGAUCCGUGUGCUCAGAUUCAUAACUGGCAUUGCUCCCUUGUCUUGGAAACAGUGUGAGAGAGAACAUUGCGUUCUUGGAAUCAGAAACUGUUUCCCGAGUUCAGCCUUCAUCCACACAAGGUCUACGGGAAGAGGCAAAAUUUGAGAGAUGGGAAAUUGUGUCCAUGGAGUCAUCAAGGGGUCAUCACCGAGGUAGCAGAUUUAGGACCCAGGUGGAUGGGAUAAUUGCCACCUCUUCCCCCUGAACCAGCAAGUGUGCUUCCAAUUUCAUUAACAGAAAGGGGACCUGGGGAAGAAAAAUGGCUUUACCCUUAUGUAUCUUUUGGUCUGUUGCUGACUCUGCCACAGGCCUUUUGGGAUGUGAGAACGGUCUCAGUGUGUAUGCAGCCUGGCUUUUUUUUUUUUUUUUUUUUUUUUUAGCACUAUAUACUUCUUGUGGUCAUAGAGCCGUAAGUAAACGUGGAAAAGGUGACAGCCUGGGGACCUCAAGUUAGGAUUGCUGUACGGUGACAUUGAACAAUGGAGUGUCCCCAGUUCUCCCCAAUAAUUCACUGCGGACACUGACAGAACAUGUGUCUGUUGAUGGCAGGGUUGGGGUAGUUUGGGGUGGACUGAAGGCAAAGGCUCUCAGUGCCCUCCAAGAUGCUGGUGAGUUCAGAGGACUAAGAUAUUCAAUCAUUGUAGGGCAACAGACUCUUUAAUACCACGGAAAGUUGGCAAAACCUUGUGAACCUGUGUGAAUCAGAUACACUGGCUCAAAGUAGAUGAAAUGGAUCAGUUCACAUAACUUGGCCUAGUGUUAGGGCUAUGGGAAUGAAAAUGCCCUAGGAGAAAUCCUGUGGCAGCUUUGCUGAAGCAGGUGUGUGUGUGUGUGUGUGUGUGUGUGUGUGUGUGUGUAAGAACCCAUAUCCCAAAUUGUUAUAUGACUUCCACCACUUACAUCAGAAUCCCUUUCUCUUUCUACUGAAUGGCAUUCUUAGCUCCCAACACCCUCCCAGUUCUCAUGCCUGAAGGUCAACUGUGAUUUCAACUUGAUGCUUUUGCCCUAUUGGACACAUGAUUUUUUUUUAAGGUAACUUUUUUUUUUAAGUUUAAUUAUUUAUUUUGAGAAGACAGAGACAGCACAAGCAGGGGAGGGGUAGAGAGAGAGGGAGAGACAGAAUCCCAAGCAGGCUCCGUACUGCCAGCUGCAGAGCCCAAUGUGGGGCUGGAACCCAAGAGCUGUGAGAACAUGACCAGAGCUGAAACCAAGAGUCGGAUGCUUAACUGACUGAGCCACUCAGGUGCCCUGGACACAUGCUAUUUGUAAACCUAGGAAAAAGCAAGGAAAACUCCUUGGAGAUUGAUUUGGACACUUGAUCAAAAUGAAUCUUAUAAUUAAAAAUAUUGAUAACUCAAAUUCUUUAAAAAGGUAAAAAUCAGCUCAUUUCAAGCAAGCUCUCCUGCCGGCCACUUGGAAUAAAGUUAAAGCACCUUUUGAAUAGGUCAUCUGAAUGCAGUUUUCUCUUGUAAGUGGGUUUAAGCAGGAACAGGUUGCCAUUUCCUUGACAUCACUAUGUGCUGUUGCACAUGUCUGAAGUCCAGACAUGAAAUGAGGUGUGUGCGAGUGCGUGUGGGCAUAUGGGACCAGUUUUCCUCACAAUGACAAACACAUGAGUGGAUCCCAUGCUUAACCCCUGGUUGUGCAACUUCAAGCACACUGACAAUGAGACGAGCCCAAAGCUGUGCUGCUUGGCCUAGAAUGGAAAUUCUCCUGCAGACUCCUUUAACUUCUCUUCUAGUAAUGGCUGAAGACUUAAGAUGAAAACAGCAAGAUGCAAGAUAUUUGCAGAGUUUGUUUUGAGCACCAACUGGAUGGCUUUGCUUAAAGGACCACCAUGAGGACUGUUUCAGACAAGGAAUCUUCAAAGUUCUGCUCUUGAACCAUGGCAGCAAGAAGAGGAUAUAAGCUCAGUUUCUCUUUUUAACCCACUGAAAGGUUCUGUUAUGCAAAAGGUUCUAAAAGGUUCUUUGUGCUGGUACCAAAUCCCAGCGAUCACGAGAGAGCUUAGGUCUUUCUGGUGGACCCACCAACUUGAAUGAUGGUCUAUCAGCUUUGGAGAUUUGACCUUCUGAGAUUAGAGACAGCUGUGCAGAGAAAGAAUCUCCCCCAUCCCAUGUUCUACCAUUCCCACGGAAAUAAAUAUACUUUCAUUUGAGCCAGCUUAGACACAGAGGAGUCAACACUGGAGCAUUUAUCUGAAAAGAAAACCCAGGAAAACCCCUGACAUGUCUUGGAAAGACCUCUAAAAAUCUAGACAUGACUAUAGUUCAAAGGCCCAUGUUUUCUCCUCCCCCAGGCUCUCUCCUGGGGCAAUAGUUCUCAAUAUUCAAUCUGGAGGUUAACUUUUGGCUCUGCGAUCAACUCACUGGGUGGAGGGCUACUCAGGGAGCCCCAGCAUCUUCAUCUGUCAAUAAAUUACUUUUUGGGGCUACUAUGGGAAGUAAAGAGGAAAGUGAGUAUGGCGAUCUCAGCACAGUGAUGGUCACUAAAUCAAAACUAAAUAAAGACUCAGCAGAAUGUUAGCACCUACAUCCUUGGGCACAUUCACUGGUGGAGGGAGACUGUGACCUGGCAUGCCAGAAAACAUUAUACUUGCAAUUAUAAUCGCUCUUAGGAACAUUUUAAUUUUCCUAAAUGUUUAUUCAUUUUUGAGAGACAGAGACAGAGCGUGCGCGGGGGUGGGGCAGAGAGGGAGGGAGACACAGCAUCUGAAGCAGGCUCCAGGCUCUGAGCUGUCAGCACAGGGCCAGAUGCAGGGCUCAAACCUGCAAACCACGAGUUUAUGACCUGAGCCGAAGUCAGACACUUAACCAACUGAGCCAUCCAGGAGCCCUGCUCUUAUGAACAUUUUAAUAUACAGAUACAGACAUAUUCUGUGAAGCUGGGAAGUGCAUUAGAUUAGACAUGGUGAACAUAUUUAUUUUAAAAUAAAAAAGGUAAAUUCUGGCUAAGAAUGCAAUCGGUCAUUAAAUGGGUGGUCUGUGAGGACACAGAAGAGGAAGCAGUGUUAGAAGAAUGGGCAAGUGCCGGAUAAGGCAAUAUAUAUCCAGUGCCCAGUCCCUCAUGUGUUUUUUUAAGCCUAAAUGGGCAUACAUGGAAAAAGAAUUACGUGAACAGAAUCUAAGACUUUGAUUCAAGUCUUUGAAACAAGCUUGCUUUUUUGUUUUCUUUAAAUGUAUGCAUACAUAUACACAUGCAUUUAGUUCUGGGAAAGGAUCACAAUGAACUAUUAAUUUUAAACUCUGUGAGGACAGGCCAUGUCCCUGUUUUGUAGAACAGUGCCUGUCUCUAAAUAGCAUCUGUUGAAUGAAUGAGUAAAUAAGCAAUGAGUCAAUAAGCAAAUACCCAACCACUGUUGCAAAAGACUUGGGAAUAACCAGAAUGAGGUUUUAAUCAUAUUUGUUUCAUUUUGGGCAACAUCUAUUGCAUAUUUUAUAUUUUAGCUGGGUAUCUUUGGGAGAAUUGGUGAGUGUGUGUGUGUGUGUGUGUGUGUGUGUGUGUUACAAACUGUUGUCUGUUCUUAUAAAGUUGUGGGUGUUUUUUGUGGAGUGAUUGUGUUCCAAAAGACUCAGACCUGAUAUGGUGAGGACUUCUGGAAGCUUAUGGAGUUAAGGCGUGCACCCUUCACUUUGUGCAGCAGAAGGAUCUAUAACAACAAACUGGUCUACAUGUAGCUGUAUGUAAAUAUGACCGUUCCUUUACAUAUUGAAGUUGAACAAAUAUUAUCAGCAAUCACUAGGUGUCAUUGAUUUGCAAAGGAGCAAGCAGUAAGGGAAUGGGGGUUCUCAAUGUCAAUCCCCUUGGGAGAAAUUGCUCUUUGUCAUGGGAUGGUGCGCUGGGCCAUAGGAGGAGGGCUCUCUCUCUCUCUCUCUUUCUCUCUCUGCCUUCUCUCAGGUCCUCCUGGCAAAAGUCUGCACUCCAGAAAGAAAGUAGGAGAGCUGGACUUUGAGACAUGGUGGCAAAGUAGGAGCCAGGAAAGGGAAUUCCUAGGACCCGAGUAGGGUAAGCACGUGGGCUAGACUGCUAAGCAAAUACACCCGUUGAACAAGGUCAUCCAUAUGGUACUUCCAUGACUAGCUGGCCUUUUGGGAAAAUGAAUCCAACAGACUGUGAUCAUGUCAGUCACUCAUCUGGAUGACUGGGUUGGAAAAGUAUCUAAUGGUUUUUAAAGUAAAAGGGCUGGUGCCUCAUGAAUCUUCUCAUCACAAAUAUCUCUUCUCGCUGGGAAUGAUUCUCAGGUUCAAGAGCCUUGAUUUCAUCUUGUCUGUGUUUCCCCCCUUGUUUUUUUUUUUUUUUUUUUCAACGUUUAUUUAUUUUUGGGACAGAGAGAGACAGAGCAUGAACGGGGGCGGGGCAGAGAGAGAGGGUGACACAGAAUCGGAAACAGGCUCCAGGCUCUGAGCCAUCAGCCCAGAGCCUGACGCGGGGCUCGAACUCCCGGACCGCGAGAUCGUGACCUGGCUGAAGUCGGACGCUUAACCGACUGCGCCACCCAAGCGCUCCUCCCCCCUUGUUAAGAGAACAGAAUUAUGUUUCUCAGGUCUUCCCUUUACUUGCCCUACUAAAUUGGCAAACCUGUAGCAGAUAAUCUGGAAAAGGAAAGCGAAAGGAUCCGGCAUUUAUUAAUAAAGGAUCAGUUGUCUAUGAGAGGUGUUUUGCGUAUGUUAUUGAAUUCAUUCCUCUUGACAACCGUGACGCAUGAGUGUUAGU